UCUGGACUGUAACUGACGCUGAGGCUCGAAAGCGUGGGGAGCGAACAGGAUUAGAUACCCUGGUAGUCCACGCUGUAAACGAUGAUUACUAGGUGUGGGGGGACUGACCCCUUCCGUGCCGCAGUUAACACAAUAAGUAAUCCACCUGGGGAGUACGGCCGCAAGGUUGAAACUCAAAGGAAUUGACGGGGGCCCGCACAAGCAGUGGAGUAUGUGGUUUAAUUCGAAGCAACGCGAAGAACCUUACCAGGUCUUGACAUCGUAUGCAUAGUCUAGAGAUAGAUGAAACCUCUUCGGAGGCAUAUAGACAGGUGGUGCAUGGUUGUCGUCAGCUCGUGUCGUGAGAUGUUGGGUUAAGUCCCGCAACGAGCGCAACCCUUACCUUUAGUUGCUACGCAAGAGCACUCUAAAGGGACUGCCGUUGACAAAACGGAGGAAGGUGGGGAUGACGUCAAAUCAUCAUGCCCCUUAUGACCUGGGCUACACACGUACUACAAUGGCAAUUAACAAAGAGAAGCAAGACGGUGACGUGGAGCGAAUCUCCAAAAAUUGUCCCAGUUCAGAUGCAGGCUGCAACUCGCCUGCAUGAAGUCGGAAUUGC
This 601-nucleotide ribosomal RNA is filed under the name uncultured bacterium. RNAcentral describes it as "bacterial SSU rRNA". It matches the Rfam family "Bacterial small subunit ribosomal RNA", at positions 728 to 1335 of the family's 1533-position model. The record is from RNAcentral.